This 497-nucleotide ribosomal RNA is filed under the name uncultured bacterium. RNAcentral's name for it is "bacterial SSU rRNA". It matches the Rfam family "Bacterial small subunit ribosomal RNA", at positions 28 to 506 of the family's 1533-position model. The record is from RNAcentral.
GAUGAACGCUGGCGGCGUGCCUAAUACAUGCAAGUCGAGCGAACAGACGAGGAGCUUGCUCCUCUGACGUUAGCGGCGGACGGGUGAGUAACACGUGGAUAACCUACCUAUAAGACUGGGAUAACUUCGGGAAACCGGAGCUAAUACCGGAUAAUAUAUUGAACCGCAUGGUUCAAUAGUGAAAAGACGGUUUCGCUGUCACUUAUAGAUGGAUCCGCGCCGCAUUAGCUAGUUGGUAAGGUAACGGCUUACCAAGGCAACGAUGCGUAGCCGACCUGAGAGGGUGAUCGGCCACACUGGAACUGAGACACGGUCCAGACUCCUACGGAGGCAGCAGUAGGGAAUCUUCCGCAAUGGGCGUAAGCCUGACGGAGCAACGCCGCGUGAGUGAUGAAGGUCUUCGGAUCGUAAAACUCUGUUAUUAGGGAAGAACAAAUGUGUAAGUAACUAUAGCACGUCUUGACGGUACCUAAUCAGAAAGCCACGGCUAACUACGU